CCAUUUAGCACCUCUGGAGGUCAAAGCACUGUCUGCGAAGAGAAAUACACACGUGGCAAAGCCUCUGCCUAUCAAUCUGGAGGGAAACGCAAACACGCUGGGACCUGCCAGCCAGCCUGAUGGGAGCAGCAGCACCUGGGUGUGUGGACGCUUUCGUGAACACAGGAGGACAUCCCGGGAGGUAUCAGGGCAAAAAAGGCUACCAAAAUAAUAGAGUCAGGAGGAGACUACAAUGUAAAUGAGAAGAACCAUCAUAUCUGAAAG
Molecule: long non-coding RNA, 264 nt
Filed under: Equus caballus (horse)
Lineage: Eukaryota; Metazoa; Chordata; Mammalia; Perissodactyla; Equidae
Description: lncRNA (ENSECAG00000047336.1)
Source: RNAcentral